UUUUCCCGAGAACGACGCUGCCUUUGAUUUCUCUGAGAUGUUUGCAUGGGGAAGUGUUUCGCUUUCUUUCCUGUUGGGGGUGGGGUUUUUUUUAAAACUUAUUUGCAAGGCUAUAUUUUUUUACUCCUUUAUUUAUCAUUCUUUAAAUGUCAGCGAGAAUACGUGAGCCGUUUCCGAUCGGUUUGGAACCUAAGCCGAUUCCUCUCGCGACAUAAUGGGAUUUUUUUUCUGCCUCUCAUUUGAUAAAAGCCACCAGGGACUUACUUCUCAAGAUAACAGCUCAGAGUUCUUCACGAUUACAUCUUGAAAGUUAUACUCAAGUCAAAAAAAGAACUGUGGCCAACGCUAGGAACUUUAAAAGCAGAAAACACAACCCCGAUACAUCGCGCGAAAAUGGAAGCAGGAAAAUGACGCUCAAGCGAGCUCCACUCUCGGAAGGGCUGGAGAU
Petromyzon marinus (sea lamprey) is the source of this 448-nucleotide long non-coding RNA. RefSeq lists it as uncharacterized. Lineage: Eukaryota; Metazoa; Chordata; Hyperoartia; Petromyzontiformes; Petromyzontidae. The record is from RefSeq and is a predicted model, not a curated record.